This 464-nucleotide ribosomal RNA is filed under the name uncultured bacterium. Its description in RNAcentral is "partial 16S ribosomal RNA". It matches the Rfam family "Bacterial small subunit ribosomal RNA", at positions 28 to 507 of the family's 1533-position model. The record is from RNAcentral.
GACGAACGCUGGCGGCGUGCUUAACACAUGCAAGUCGAACGGAAAGGCCCCUUUGGGGGUACUCGAGUGGCGAACGGGUGAGUAACACGUGAGUAACCUGCCCUUGACUUCGGGAUAACUUCAGGAAACUGGGGCUAAUACCGGAUAGGAAUCCUUGCUGCAUGGUGGGGGUUGGAAAGCUUCGGCGGUUUUGGAUGGACUCGCGGCUUAUCAGCUUGUUGGUGGGGUAGUGGCUUACCAAGGCUUUGACGGGUAGCCGGCCUGAGGGGGCGACCGGCCACAUUGGGACUGAGAUACGGCCCAGACUCCUACGGGAGGCAGCAGUGGGGAAUAUUGCACAAUGGGCGGAAGCCUGAUGCAGCAACGCCGCGUGCGGGAUGACGGCCUUCGGGUUGUAAACCGCUUUCAGCAGGGGCGAAGCUUUUGUGACGGUACCUGCAGAAGAAGCACCGGCUAACUACGUG